GAUCAUGGCUCAGGAUGAACGCUAACUACAGGCUUAACACAUGCAAGUCGAGGGGCGGCAUGUUGGUUGCUUGCAACCAAUGAUGGCGACCGGCGCACGGGUGAGUAACGCGUAUCCAACCUACCCUUGUCCAUCGGAUAACCCGUCGAAAGGCGGCCUAACACGAUAUGCGGUUCACAGCAGGCAUCUAACGUGAACGAAAUGUAAAGGAGAAGGAUGGGGAUGCGUCUGAUUAG
RNAcentral lists this ribosomal RNA (236 nucleotides) under uncultured bacterium. Its description in RNAcentral is "partial 16S ribosomal RNA". It matches the Rfam family "Bacterial small subunit ribosomal RNA", at positions 15 to 244 of the family's 1533-position model. The record is from RNAcentral.